This 400-nucleotide ribosomal RNA is filed under the name uncultured bacterium. Its description in RNAcentral is "bacterial SSU rRNA". It matches the Rfam family "Bacterial small subunit ribosomal RNA", at positions 355 to 771 of the family's 1533-position model. The record is from RNAcentral.
UGAGGGAUAUUGCACAAUGGGCGAAAGCCUGAUGCAGCGACGCCGCGUGGGAGAAGAAGGCCUUCGGGUUGUAAAUCCCUUUUCUGCGUGACGAGGAAGGACGGUAGCGCAGGAAUAAGUCUCGGCUAACUACGUGCCAGCAGCCGCGGUAAAACGUAGGAGACAAACGUUAUCCGGAGUUACUGGGCGUAAAGGGCGUGCAGGUGGUUCGUUAAGUCUGGCGUGAAAGCCUCCGGCUCAACCGGGGAAAGUCGUCGGAGACUGACGAACUAGAGGGCAGUAGAGGCGUGUGGAAUUCCGGGUGUAGUGGUGAAAUGCGUAGAGAUCCGGAGGAACACCAGUGGCGAAGGCGACACGCUGGGCUGCACCUGACACUGAGACGCGACAGCAUGGGGAGCGA